CCUACGGGUGGCAGCAGUGAGGAAUAUUGGUCAAUGGACGCACGUCUGAACCAGCCAUGCCGCGUGCAGGAAGACGGCUCUAUGAGUUGUAAACUGCUUUUGUACGAGGGUAAACGCAGAUACGCGUAUCUGUCUGAAAUUAUCGUACGAAUAAGGAUCGGCUAACUCCGUGCCCGCAGCCGCGGUAAUACGGAGGAUUCAAGCGUUAUCCGGAUUUAUUGGGUUUAAAGGGUGCGUAGGAGGUCGGAUAAGUUAGAGGUGAAAUCCCGAGGCUUAACUUCGGAAUUGCCUCUGAUACUGUUCGGCUUGAGAGUAGUUGCGGUAGGCGGAAUGUAUGGUGUAGCGGUGAAAUGCUUAGAGAUCAUACAGAACACCGAUUGCGAAGGCAGCUUACCAAGCUACUUCUGACGUUGAGGCACGAAAGCGUGGGGAGCAAACAGGAUUAGAUACCCGGGUAGUC
Molecule: ribosomal RNA, 460 nt
Filed under: uncultured bacterium
Lineage: Bacteria
Description: partial 16S ribosomal RNA
Rfam family: Bacterial small subunit ribosomal RNA
Source: RNAcentral